This 46-nucleotide non-coding RNA is filed under the name Schistosoma curassoni. Lineage: Eukaryota; Metazoa; Platyhelminthes; Trematoda; Strigeidida; Schistosomatidae. The record is from RNAcentral.
GCACUGCUGAAGAGUCCCAUGCUAGGAUGAAACGGCCGUCCAGUGC